UACAGAGGAGCCAAGCGUUGUCCGGAUUGACUGGGCGUAAAGCGCACGCAGGCGGAUGCGCGCGUGGGGUGUGAAAUCUGGCCGCUUAACGGCCAGGCGCCAUCCCAUACGGCGCGUCUGGAGUGAUGCAGAGGUCGGUGGAAUUGCCGGUGUAGUGGUGAAAUGCGUAGAGAUCCGGCGGAACACCGGUGGUGAAGGCGGUCUCCUGGGCCGAGGGCCGACGCUGAGGCGCGAGAGCGUGGGGAGCGAACCGG
RNAcentral lists this ribosomal RNA (254 nucleotides) under uncultured bacterium. Its description in RNAcentral is "partial 16S ribosomal RNA". It matches the Rfam family "Bacterial small subunit ribosomal RNA", at positions 524 to 776 of the family's 1533-position model. The record is from RNAcentral.